Molecule: long non-coding RNA, 358 nt
Organism: Pseudopipra pipra
Lineage: Eukaryota; Metazoa; Chordata; Aves; Passeriformes; Pipridae
Exons: 4
Source: RefSeq, a predicted model, not a curated record
GCCAAUACGAGCUCCAGAGGGGGAACUGAAGGUUCCUGCCAGUGCUAAUGAUGCCAAUUGGAGCCUCUGGCAGAAGUAGGGUAGGAAGGAAGUGCCCUUAGGAUUUGGGAAUAGGAAGUUACUGGAAGCCAGCCCAAGAUAGACCCUGUUGGAGAAGCGGCUCUGAAACCUGUGGAUCCUGGCCAUCCUCACAGCCCUUGUGGUCCCUCUGGGCGAUGCUGUUGGCCCGGGCAGUUCCCUGGAAAAGGUGCCUGGGUCGGGUGCCUUGGUUUGAUUUGGAUGGAGAUGGAAAAGCAGCUCCAAACCAGGACCCCAGGACAAGUGCACCAACUGAUAUCGUGCUGGAAAAAUAUGACAC